Molecule: RNA transcript, 1648 nt
Organism: Rhineura floridana
Lineage: Eukaryota; Metazoa; Chordata; Lepidosauria; Squamata; Rhineuridae
Gene: EPSTI1
Gene name: epithelial stromal interaction 1
Exons: 12
Source: RefSeq, a predicted model, not a curated record
AGUGUCAAAGUGCAGGGGAAAGUAUCGGCUAGAAAGGGAUCCUUUCGGGCUAGAAUGCUAACGCACGUGGGAGGAAAUUCUCGGCUAGCUCGGGAGGGGCUUUAUAAAGAACUCGAAAAGAAUUGCAGACAAGAAAUUUUCGGUUUCGUUUGUGGCUGUUAGGGAAGACUGAGAAAAAGCAGAAGUUUUUCGUACUUUGUCGAGUCACGUGCAGGGUGAAGCAUGAAUGGGGCUGGAGCAAGGUGCGGCAGGUGCGGGGUGGUGGAUGCUUCUCCCUUCUUCGGAAGGUAUCAGGCCGGUGAUUAUUUCUCGCAGCACAGAGAAGCCCACGCAGGCUCCCGCGACUAUGAAGGUUUGGGUCUGGAGGACUUGGAGGGCCCGGCGUCGUCCUCAGGACAGCAGCACCUCUCUAGUCUGGGUGCAUACGUUGUGAUACCUCCAAAUCCAGCAAGGAGGAAUCGGUUACAGAAAAUUGCUAAUAAAGAGUUGGAAGACCUGGCAAAAUUGAAGGAACAGUACAAGCCAGGACUAAUUAACCUGACACCCCAGAAACUGGGUGGAAGAAUAUCAGAGGCUGAAGUGAGGCAAAAACAGCAACUUGAGCACAUCCAAUCUAAAUACCAGCAAAAGGCCAAUAAACUUGAAGAAAAACAAAGGCAACAAGAAUGGCAAAGACAGCAGAUGCUUGAUGAAGACCACCACUUAAAAACCACUGAAUUCUUGAAGAGAUUGGAUAUAAGCCCAUGCAGGAGAACACCCUGUCAAACAGACCAUCAUAACCUCAAAUCUACAGCCUGGACCAGAAGCCAGUCAUAUAAGCAAAUCCAAAGACAAGAAGAAAACAGAAAACUGCAGGAGAUGAAGGAAGAGCAACGAAGAAAGGCUGAAUUGUUGGAACUUAAACAAAGGCAAGAAGAAAGAAUAAGAAUGAAAGCACAUCAGAAUGAGCAGCGGAGGGUAAAUAAUGAAUUUCUGGACAGACUGCAAAACAGUUGUCAGCCAGGUGGCAUGUACCAAUCUGGACGUCGUGGGAAUAUGGAUUUUAGUGCUGACAGCUGGAUAAAGCUAACAUGAAAUUGGUCAGGAGCGGGCGUGCAGGCAAUCUAUUGUUUUCUCCCAUGGCUGAGGAACCUGAAUAUUUCCAGUAAAAUGUGAACUAUAGAAUGAAACUGGAGAGGAUUCAUGUCAGCGCUUGGAGAAUUUACCUUCAGGGAUCCAUUCUCUCUCUCCCCCUCCCCGCACCAAUCUCUCCUCACUUGUUUCAUCCUUGCUUGUUUGACCUGCCUGCCUCUCUCCAAAAUAAGUAUUUCAAACUAUUGAUUAUAGUACCGAAAUAGCAGAGAAAUGGUUUCUCUCAUAGCUUGUCUUGCUUGCUGUAGUAGUCUUGGAUCUCUUGGAAGUUUUUGUCCUUGUCUGUGGAAAUGGCAGUAACUUGUUUGUACUACUUUGACUAACAAACCAUCUGAGUUGCAGAAGUUUUGAAGUUCUGUGUGCCAAUGUACAUGUUCAUUUUUAAUGUAGUUCUGAGAGAGAGAGAGAGAGAGGAAUGAUUAUACUGUGUAUUGUAACUGGUUCUCAUUCAAAUCUUUUAUAAUGCUUUUCCACAUUAAAAUAUUACAUAAAUAAAAGCUUUAAAUAUGUUUUGAAA